RNAcentral lists this long non-coding RNA (449 nucleotides) under Nicotiana benthamiana. RNAcentral describes it as "long non-coding RNA (NBEN_LNC036318)". Lineage: Eukaryota; Viridiplantae; Streptophyta; Magnoliopsida; Solanales; Solanaceae. The record is from RNAcentral.
ACAAAUCCCAGGAAACAUAUUUUAACCAGAAAAACCAGCAGAAAAAUUCCAGCAACAACAGAACAAUAAAACAGCCAAUACCAGCACCAGAUUGACCAAAACUCAAACCAAAAAUCAAUAGGGAAAGAAUUUGACCCCCAUCUAUACUAACAGUAAUACAAAUGACCCCAGGAUUGGAACCAAACAACUAAAUUGGACGAAGCUUACUCAAAAUCAGACCAACAACUAAAUCCCAAUUAAAUAGAAACUCACAACCAAACAGAAAAAUCAGGAAAGCGAGUCUGACAAUCAGUAGUACUAAAUGCAAUCCACAUAAGUGGUAACAAAGUUCUGACUUUCAACGGUAAAGAAAAGGCUUCUCUUUUAGUUUUUAGCUCUCAAAGAUUGAUUUUCAAGUUUUGAAAAAUCAGCCUAUCUCUCACUCUUAAGUUCAAAAAUUUUCAUUGUCA